UACGAAGGGGGCUAGCGUUGCUCGGAUUGACUGGGCGUAAAGGGCGCGUAGGCGGUUCGUACAGUCAGACGUGAAAUUCCUGGGCUCAACCUGGGGGCUGCGUUUGAUACGUGCGGACUUGAGUGCGGAAGAGGGUCGUGGAAUUCCCAGUGUAGAGGUGAAAUUCGUAGAUAUUGGGAAGAACACCGGUGGCGAAGGCGGCGACCUGGUCCGAUACUGACGCUGAGGCGCGAAAUCGUGGGGAGCAAACAGG
RNAcentral lists this ribosomal RNA (253 nucleotides) under uncultured bacterium. Its description in RNAcentral is "partial 16S ribosomal RNA". It matches the Rfam family "Bacterial small subunit ribosomal RNA", at positions 524 to 776 of the family's 1533-position model. The record is from RNAcentral.